This 444-nucleotide ribosomal RNA is filed under the name uncultured bacterium. RNAcentral describes it as "SSU rRNA". It matches the Rfam family "Bacterial small subunit ribosomal RNA", at positions 26 to 518 of the family's 1533-position model. The record is from RNAcentral.
AGAACGAACGCUGGCGGCAGGCUUAACACAUGCAAGUCGAACGCUCGUAGCAAUACGGGAGUGGCAGACGGGUGAGUAACGCGUGGGAACAUACCCUCCGGUUCGGAAUAGCUCAGGGAAACUUGGAUUAAUACCGGAUACGGCCGAGAGGCGAAAGAUUUAUCGCCGGAGGAUUGGCCCGCGUUCGAUUAGCUAGUUGGUGAGGUAACGGCUCACCAAGGCGAUGAUCGAUAGCUGGUCUGAGAGGAUGAUCAGCCACAUUGGGACUGAGACACGGCCCAAACUCCUACGGGAGGCAGCAGUGGGAAUAUUGGACAAUGGGCGCAAGCCUGAUCCAGCCAUGCCGCGUGGGUGAUGAAGGCCCUAGGGUUGUAAAGCCCUUUCGGCGGGAAGAUAAUGACGGUACCGCAGAAGAAGCCCGGCUAACUUCGUGCCAGCAGCCGC